UACGUAGGGUGCAAGCGUUGUCCGGAAUUAUUGGGCGUAAAGGGCGCGUAGGCGGCCUGGCAAGUGGAAGGUGAAAUCCCUCGGCUUAACCGAGGAACUGCCCUCCAAACUGCUUGGCUUGAGUCCGGGAGAGGUGAGUGGAAUUCCCAGUGUAGCGGUGAAAUGCGUAGAUAUUGGGAGGAACACCAGUGGCGAAGGCGGCUCACUGGACCGGAACUGACGCUGAGGCGCGAAAGCGUGGGGAGCAAACGGG
Molecule: ribosomal RNA, 253 nt
Filed under: uncultured bacterium
Lineage: Bacteria
Description: partial 16S ribosomal RNA
Rfam family: Bacterial small subunit ribosomal RNA
Source: RNAcentral